UACGGGGGGGGUAAGCGUUGUUCGGAAUUACUGGGCGUAAAGGGCUCGUAGGCGGCCAACUAAGUCAUACGUGAAAUCCCUCAGCUUAACUGGGGAACUGCGUGUGAUACUGGAUGGCUUGGAUGUGGGAGAGGGUAGUGGAAUUCCCGGUGUAGUGGUGAAGUGCGUAGAUAUCGGGAGGAACACCAGUGGCGAAGGCGACUACCUGGCCUGUUUCUUGACGCUGAGGCGCGAAAGCUAGGGGAGCAAACGGG
Molecule: ribosomal RNA, 254 nt
Filed under: uncultured bacterium
Lineage: Bacteria
Description: partial 16S ribosomal RNA
Rfam family: Bacterial small subunit ribosomal RNA
Source: RNAcentral